UGGAGUAUGUGGUUAAUUCGAUGCAACGCGAAGAACCUUACCUGGUCUUGACAUCCCGGAGACCCUUAGGAAACUAGGGGUGCUUCCAUCUGGAAGAAUCUGGAGACAGGUGCUGCAUGGCUGUCGUCAGCUCGUGUCGUGAGAUGUUGGGUUAAGUCCCGCAACGAGCGCAACCCUUGCCUUUAGUUGCCAGCAGUUCGGCUGGGCACUCUAAAGGGACUGCCGGUGUUAAACCGGAGGAAGGUGGGGAUGACGUCAAGUCCUCAUGGCCUUUAUGACCAGGGCUACACACGUACUACAAUGGCCGAUACAAAGGGCAGCGACACUGCGAGGUGAAGCCAAUCCCGUAAAAUCGGUCUCAGUCCGGAUUGGAGUCUGCAACUCGACUCCAUGAAGUUGGAAUCGCUAGUAAUCGUGGAUCAGCAUGCCACGGUGAAUACGUCCGGCGU
This 449-nucleotide ribosomal RNA is filed under the name uncultured Desulfobulbus sp. RNAcentral describes it as "bacterial SSU rRNA". It matches the Rfam family "Bacterial small subunit ribosomal RNA", at positions 933 to 1373 of the family's 1533-position model. Lineage: Bacteria; Pseudomonadati; Thermodesulfobacteriota; Desulfobulbia; Desulfobulbales; Desulfobulbaceae. The record is from RNAcentral.